GAUUACACAAACCGUUAACUCGUUAAGGGUCUCCCACUAAAACCAAAACUGUUUUGCAGUUUUCAUUUGUGAGAGUUGGUUAUGGAUGGCUCAAAUGAUGAGCCACGAAGAACUACCGAUCCGAAUCCACUUCGCUAUCGACGAAGUCUACGACGAUCCCUCGCAACUCGAGGAGGCCCAGCUCCGUUUACACCACCUCAAGACCAAGUUUCACAAGGUCUUCGGGCACCUUCCUCAAGUCUGCGCUCGCUCUCCAGGGAGAGUGAAUUUUAUUGGAGAGCAUACAGACUAUGACGGAUUCUCGGUGUUGCCGAUGGCGAUACGGCAGGAUAUAUACUAUUGUGGCGAUUAGGAGGAACGAAGGGGAGAAGGUUCUGAGAAUUGCGAAUGUUAAUGCUAAGUAUGAAAUGUGUACUUAUCCUGCUGAUCCUAACCAGGAAAUUGAUUUGAAGAAUCGUAAAUGGGCCCAUUAAAUCAUUUGUGGGUCAGAACUCGAGAUUUUGCUUGAUUGUUGUUUUGGUCUCUGUUAUGUUGUGAUUUGCUUAAUAGAAACGAAGGAAUUUUGCUAUGCUCUGAGUGUUGUGACAUUACUUUAAUUCAUCUCCAGUAAUAGAGUGUUCACCAGAUUUGCGAGUGAAAUCAGUCGGAUGCUACACAUUUGUUUACUGUCUUCUCUUGGUGUUCUCUGUUAUCUGUAUAUUGUGGCCACAAGGACUUUGUUUGAUUUUACAGCUAAUGAGUUAAAAAGUAUUAUUGUUCAAUUGUCAGUAUUAAUUAAGCCAAUAAGGCAUAAUUGUUCAUAGAAAUUUUUUUCCAGAUGUUUUCUUUGCACCUUUUCAGGUUACAUGAAGAUCAAGAUGACUAAAUUCUUUGGUUCCAGGUAAGACUUAAAUUUAAGGAGGCUGACUACAUGAACAUGGGACUGCAAUUUGGUUCAUUGUGAGGAUUUGACAUUCACUGAAUACCAAUUCCUAUUUGUUUAGCUGCUCUGUAAUAGUUGUUCAAGUAGGCAAUUCCUCAUCAAUUUUUCAUUUUCUUUUUUACCUUUUUGUCACAACAAUUCUGCAUAAAGAAAUUCAACCUGCUCAAGCCUGAGUGUAGAUCAAACGAUUGCCCUUAGCUAUUAGUGACGCAACCAUUUUACUCUAGCCAUAACUCUUUUUUCUCUAACUUAUUUUGUAGUUGCAUGCAUAAGAUCAGUUCUAUUGUUUACAUGUUAUUCAGCCAAUUUAAGAAUAGGGCAAACAUAUAAUCAAAUGAUGGUCUGGAAUUGAAUAAUAAGGUUUUGUAAGUUUUGAUCUAUUGUUUAGGUGUUGUAAGUUUCAAACUAUGAUUUGAUGACAAUUGAUUAAUUUAUAUUGUCUUUGUUACUUCUUUGCUUUCAGUUGUUUGUUGCAGCCAAUCGAGUGCUGGAAGACAGAUUAAAUGGAAUAAAUUGGAGGUUCAGGAAUCCAACAAAGCUUUUCUCUGAGAGUCAAGUAGUGUGCUGACACUUUGAGAAGCUUAGAGACUGACAAUCCAAUAGUAAUCGACUUCCAAUGUUGUUCGAUGUGUUAGGCAUGAAGCCUACUAGGUUUAAUUUACUAGCAAGUGUAGUCCUUCUAAGUAAGGUUAUCUAUGAGGAUGUAUUCUUUUUACUUCUUUUAGAGAGUUACCAUGCAAGAGGUUUGAACACAAUGGUGGAGAGCUAAAUCACCGGUCAAGAGUACUGUUUUGUUCUCUCAAUGUCCGUUAGAAUUAAUGAUACUGUGAUUUUUUG
Rosa chinensis is the source of this 1759-nucleotide long non-coding RNA. RefSeq lists it as uncharacterized. NCBI's taxonomy places the organism in Eukaryota, Viridiplantae, Streptophyta, Magnoliopsida, Rosales, Rosaceae. The record is from RefSeq and is a predicted model, not a curated record. The transcript has 4 exons.